UCGAUGUCAUAAUUUGGUGUCGUGGGGAAUCAGGACUGUUACUUUGAAAAAUUAGAGUGUUUAAAGCAGGCAUACGCUUGAAUACAUUAGCAUGGAAUAAUGAAUAGGACGUUUGAUUCUAUUUGUUGGUUUCUAGGAUCGACGUAAUGAUUAAUAGGGAUAGUUGGGGGGCAUUAGUAUUCAAUUGUCAGAGGUGAAAUUCUUGGAUUUAUUGAAGGCUAACUACUGCGAAAAGCAUUUUGCCAAGGAUGUUUUCAUUAAUCAAGAACGAAAGUUAGGGGAUCGAAGACGAUCAGAUACCGUCGUAGUCUUAACCAUAAACUAUGCCGACUAGGGAUCGGAUGAUGUUAAUUUUUAAUGACUCAUUCGGCGCCUUACG
Molecule: ribosomal RNA, 379 nt
Filed under: uncultured Glomus
Lineage: Eukaryota; Fungi; Glomeromycota; Glomeromycetes; Glomerales; Glomeraceae
Description: SSU rRNA
Rfam family: Eukaryotic small subunit ribosomal RNA
Source: RNAcentral